CCAAUAGCGUAUAUUAAAGUUGUUGCAGUUAAAAAGCUCGUAGUUGAAUUUCGGGAUCAUCAGGUUGGUCGUGCCUCUGGUAUGUACUUUCCUCGAUGGUUCCUCCUUCUUGAAGAUCCGUAAUGUCAUUAAUUUGGUGUUGCGGGGAAUCAGGACUGUUACUUUGAAAAAAUUAGAGUGUUUAAAGCAGGCAAUCGCUUGAAUACAUUAGCAUGGAAUAAUGAAAUAGGACGUUCGAUCCUAUUUUGUUGGUUUCUAGGAUUGACGUAAUGAUUAAUAGGGGUAGUUGGGGGCAUUAGUAUUCAAUUGUCAGAGGUGAAAUUCUUGGAUUUAUUGAAGACUAACUACUGCGAAAGCAUUUGCCAAGGAUGUUUUCAUUAAUCAAGAACGAAAGUUAGGGGAUCGAAGACGAUCAGAUACCGUCGUAGUCUUAACCAUAAACUAUGCCGACUAGGGAUCGGAUGAUGUUAAUUUUUUAAUGACUCAUUCGGCGCCUUACG
Molecule: ribosomal RNA, 500 nt
Filed under: uncultured Glomeromycotina
Lineage: Eukaryota; Fungi; Glomeromycota
Description: partial small subunit ribosomal RNA
Rfam family: Eukaryotic small subunit ribosomal RNA
Source: RNAcentral